Molecule: long non-coding RNA, 1605 nt
Organism: Arabidopsis lyrata subsp. lyrata
Lineage: Eukaryota; Viridiplantae; Streptophyta; Magnoliopsida; Brassicales; Brassicaceae
Exons: 2
Source: RefSeq, a predicted model, not a curated record
AUUCCUAUAAUUUGAUUUGUAUUGGCGAAAGAGAUAUUUCUAGGUACUUGCUCAUCGAUCUAGUGUUGUAUAAUUUUUUUUUUUUUUUUUUCGUCUGAUUUGAUCCAUAAAAUAUCGGAAAAAUACAUUGUGAGAUUACAUAUGUUGCGGAAUAAAUUGAUCUUUUCAGAAACAAAGUGUUAGUAUAUACUCAGAAUAUCCUCGUAUAUUUCUCUAAGUGAUAAAACCAAAUCUAGAUAUGAUACGAUAACUGUAUAUCUUCUUGUAUAUCUCAUGUUGAGAUUCUCGACUUAUCUGUGUAUAAAUACCUGUGUAUACAUCAAUGGAAAGAAAUCAAGUUUCAACACUUAUACAAAGUCCAAACGAAGAAAGUAAAACUUUAAGUUACAUGAAAACUAAAAGCACAAAUAACCGAUACAUCUUUCUCUUCCUCUAAUCUUUUGUGUGGCUGUUGUGGUCGCUUCGGUGGAGGUACUUGAGGACGGCACCACUUUUGUGGUUUUCGACAGAUCUGGAUUGGUGAAUCUUCGUGUGUCGUUUUUUCUCUUCAGUGUGGUUUGUUGUGGCUCUGGUGAGCAAAGGGGCUGAGCUUCUCUUCUGUUGAGCUCGUGGAGGUCAGGUUCUGGUUACUUGUUGCUGGAUUUGUCGAUCCUUCCUCCUCCAGCGGUGCGAUGCAUCACCAGAUUGUAAGUUUGAUUUUGUUUUGUGGGUUAGUUGGGAUUGCUUUAAUUGCAGGUCUUGGAUUACAAACGAUGAGCAGCGGUGAGCAAAUUCCUUCUCCGACAGCGGUGGUGUGGUUGAUUUCUUUUCUCGAUGUAGUGGUGGCUCGGGUUUGGUGGUCGAUUGGAUGCGAGGUCGUGAUGCCUUGGUUUUAGGACGGUGGGGAAUGCGAUGGUGUCUAUUUGUGGAUCACCCUCCCAAUUCGUAGCUGCGACUACAGCGGAAGUCGACGGAGAAACAGUGGGUUAGCUAUUUAGUCUUGGUGGUUAACCGAUGGUCUUUGGAUUCAUGAAGGCGCUUAUGGAUUAUACGGAGUUUUUGGGCUUGCUUGAGCCACUUGUCAAAUUGAUCUGCCGCGAGGAUUCAUCCACAAGACCGGAUUUGAAGUGUUCCCUUUUGUAGCAAAAUACCAUUGUUCCAUAUAUGGCAAAGAUUAUAAGACGUCUCACAUGUCGUUAUGAUUCCCUACCUCCCUUCUUGUGUCUCUCUCAGGGUGCAUUCACUAGGUUAUUUUUAAUUUCUUAUACAUAGAGGGAUAAUAUAAUUAAUUAGCUUACAUUUUUCUUUUAUUUUUGGUUAAAAAUUUAGUGACAUUUUCCCACUCAAAACAAAAGUUCUGGUACAAUAUACGGACAUACGUAUGCAUUUCGUACGUAAUCCUAUUAGAUGAGAAAUUGCAGUAUUGGAGAAGUAUAUUUACUCGUUAUCGUAUAUAUUAUAAAAAAAUUUAAGGUAUAUAUAAUACACAUGUAAGGACACAUAUUAUUUUUAGAAUGAAUGAACAAACAACAUGUGACAGAUACGCGAAAAAAAGUUUUGUGUUCUUUCAAUGCUGUGAAACUACUUAAUGAAGAAGUAUCAGUAAUCAAGUGUCCAAUACUGUAA